RNAcentral lists this ribosomal RNA (374 nucleotides) under uncultured prokaryote. RNAcentral's name for it is "bacterial SSU rRNA". It matches the Rfam family "Bacterial small subunit ribosomal RNA", at positions 524 to 896 of the family's 1533-position model. The record is from RNAcentral.
UACAGAGGUCCCAAGCGUUGUUCGGAUUCACUGGGCGUAAAGGGUGCGUAGGUGGCGAGGUAAGUUUGAUGUGAAAGCUCCGGGCUUAACCCGGAAAUGGCAUUGAAUACUAUCUCGCUCGAGGGUUGGAGGGGGGACUGGAAUUCUCGGUGUAGCAGUGAAAUGCGUAGAUAUCGAGAGGAACACCAGUGGCGAAGGCGAGUCCCUGGACAACUCCUGACACUGAGGCACGAAAGCUAGGGGAGCAAACAGGAUUAGAUACCCUGGUAGUCCUAGCCGUAAACGGUGCAUAUUUGCUGUAAAAGGAAUCGACCCCUUUUGUGGCGUAGCAAACGCGAUAAAUAUGCCGCCUGGGAAGUACGGUCGCAAGAUUA